CCCGCGUCUGAUUAGCUAGUUGGUGAGGUAACGGCCCACCAAGGCGACGAUCAGUAGCCGGCCUGAGAGGGCGACCGGCCACAUUGGGACUGAGACACGGCCCAAACUCCUACGGGAGGCAGCAGUGGGGAAUAUUGCACAAUGGGGGAAACCCUGAUGCAGCGACGCCGUGUGAGUGAAGAAGUAUUUCGGUAUGUAAAGCUCUAUCAGCAGGGAAGAAGAAAGACGGUACCUGACUAAGAAGCCCCGGCUAACUACGUGCCAGCAGCCGCGGUAAUACGUAGGGGGCAAGCGUUAUCCGGAUUUACUGGGUGUAAAGGGAGCGUAGACGGCUGUGCAAGUCUGAAGUGAAAGCCCAGGGCUCAACCCUGGGACUGCUUUGGAAACUGUGGAGCUAGAGUGCUGGAGAGGUAAGUGGAAUUCCUAGUGUAGCGGUGAAAUGCGUAGAUAUUAGGAGGAACACCAGUGGCGAAGGCGGCUUACUGGACAGUAACUGACGUUGAGGCUCGAAAGCGUGGGGAGCAAACAGGAUUAGAUACCCUGGUAGUCCACGCGGUAAACGAUGAAUACUAGGUGUUGGAGAGCAAAGCUUUUCG
This 596-nucleotide ribosomal RNA is filed under the name uncultured bacterium. Its description in RNAcentral is "bacterial SSU rRNA". It matches the Rfam family "Bacterial small subunit ribosomal RNA", at positions 230 to 842 of the family's 1533-position model. The record is from RNAcentral.